Toxotes jaculatrix (banded archerfish) is the source of this 1445-nucleotide long non-coding RNA. RefSeq lists it as uncharacterized. NCBI's taxonomy places the organism in Eukaryota, Metazoa, Chordata, Actinopteri, Toxotidae. The record is from RefSeq and is a predicted model, not a curated record. The transcript is spliced from 3 exons.
AUGAGGAGGACCAUGUUUUUUUGAGAGUCCCUGAGAGCAGAAUUUGGAUUGGACUGACUGAUGUUUCUCAUGGCGACAUUAUGAUGCAACCAACAGUAUUAAUAUUGGCUGUAUUUCAUUCUGGUGGGCCACUUCUUGAGACGCUCACUGGUUCACUUAAAUGGAACAGAGCCAUUAUCAGCGUUGUCUGCAGUGAGAAAGGUUGAUGCUGCUCAUCGUAAGAUCUGGUUUGGUGUCCACUCCCAACUCCUGAAGAACAUACCUGGCUGAGCGGGCAGAGCAGAGGUUGGCAUCAGGUGCCAAAUUCUUUUUCCAGCGCAUACGGGAGUACUCAGUGAUGAGGGACUCUUGGGGGACCUCAGGGACAUCCAUGGCCAUGGCAAACUGAUUGGCACCCCCUGCUGUCAGACACGCAUGGCUAGUCUGAAACAGAGAUCAACGUUAACAUCUAUAAAAUGCAUCUAUAAACAAAACCUAUUUGCACUUGAAAACCAGAGGACUAUGUUGAAAAAUAAAUAAAUAAAUAAAUGUGCUAGGUUUUCUACUUUAGACUACGAGCAAACUCAUCAAUCACCCCUCGUACAGUAUAUUUACCUUUUGUGCAUGCAGUUUUCAUGCCUUAUCCAUGCUCUUUAUGCCGUAUGUGUACACACCUUGUCCAUAACCAGUCUUGCUAGCUGAACAGGGUUGGCUAUGUUGCGUACAGCAGACACUGCACCGCUUCCCAGUGUCUUCCCAUCCAUCACAAUGGCAUCCAUCUCCACCUCUCCUUUGGCAUUCAGCACUGACCCACACCCUGAAAUAUGAUUUGAGAGACAAUUUCUUAAGGUCUUGCUUCUGGGAACAAAGAAACUUUUGUGUAUAGAGGUGACAUUUGAAUUCAUUUGAAAUGAGAAAAGGGACAUCAUCCUUUCCAUUGUUGAUUACAUAAACUGGUGUGCUGUGCUUUUACAUUACCUGCAUUGAAGGAGGGAUUAUUCUCCAGUUGGGACACAGCCUCUACCACUGCAUCCAUGCUGCUGCCUCCUCCCUGGAGGAUGGUGUACGCUGCUCGGGCUGCUGAGCACACUCCUGAAGUGGACUUAUCUGCCCGCUCCUUUGGGAUAUGACCUGCUCCUCCAUGGACCACCACCACUGGCAACAUGCCAAACACCUGAGAAGGAACUGAGGGGAGAUACAAUGUAAAGCAACAUAUAAACACUAGUUUUGAAUGUGCUACAUUGGACAGUACACUUCUAGCAGUAUUCCUGCGCUAUUUUGGUUAACUGUAAUUCCUCAAAAAUAAAUGUUCAAAUAAAGUCUGGUAACUCUUUUAGCGGAGAACAUGACUGACCAUUAAAACCUUGAAGGUAGAGAUGCUUGUUUUAAAUAUGUUUCUGUUUUUAUCUUUUCAAUUUCUUUUAAAAUGUCUUGUGUUUUAAUUUACGUUAUCAUAUUUUACUAUU